GCCUGUUUUGGCUACCCUAUUUAAAAGAGGAAAAGUUGAAUUUCUUAAUUCCUUUUUCUUUAUUUAUUUUGUUUCUUCGGUUUUUAUUUGUGUCGCCGUUCACCUCUUCUCCCCCGACACCAAGCCUUGCGCCCGACGCCUUCGAGCCCUAACCGCCGGAGCACUAACCGCCGGCCGCGACGGUUUCUUCCUCGCCGCCACCCACUUCCUCUUCUUCUCUUCUCUCCCAAGUGCCGGCAACAUUUCCGCCCAGCCGUGCCCUAGAACGAGCGCCGGAGCCGAUCCUUAGCCGCGUCGCUGCCACUCCUUCCCAAUGCCUUCCUCUCCUCUGCCCGACGCCGACGACGCCAGGGAGUAGAGAGUCGACGAUUGAGUGUCUUCUCUUCCCCCUGUGCUCGCAUACCGCCGACCGGCCCAUGCCCUAGCUUCACUGCCCGACGCUUACUUCGAUCGCCGAUGCCCUAGCCGAGCCCUGCUGAAGCUGUGCCCUUGCUCUGCCGCCGGCCACAGAAUAGGGUUUUUAAUCUGCUGCGGCUAAAUUGGUUUUCUGAUCAGUUGAGCGUCAACAGGAGCUUGGGAUUUAGUAACUUUGUGAUCCCCAGCAGCGGUUCUGAUCUUGUUUCGGCAGCCAACAUCUUUGAUUUUUGGAUCAACAGUGAUACAUACGAAUUGAGGACUUUGAUUCGAGACGGUGUCUCGACGAGGGAUCUAUUCCAGAUUGGAC
This is a long non-coding RNA of Zingiber officinale, 724 nucleotides long. RefSeq lists it as uncharacterized. The transcript is spliced from 4 exons. NCBI's taxonomy places the organism in Eukaryota, Viridiplantae, Streptophyta, Magnoliopsida, Zingiberales, Zingiberaceae. The record is from RefSeq and is a predicted model, not a curated record.